UUCCUUGCUUGCGUCACCACCUUGGGUUCGAAUCCUCACUGCCUUUUAGUUCCAUUCUCUUUUCGAGUACAGUUUCUUGGCAACCACGAAGGGACCCCUCGUGCCCGUGACCCAACUUCAACGCAGAAUGGAUCAGAGAGGGGAUGGUGAAUCCACCUAGCCCGCAAUCCCUCCACAACGCCAUGGACAGCAAGAGCAGCAGCAAUCCUGGCAUCGUGCAGAGCUUACACAAGACCACCCGGACCGUCGUGGAUGGCAAGGUGGUGUCCGAAACCAGCGAUUCCAAGGUCAUCCGCAGCUAGGCCCCGCCACGGGCCUCGUGUGGCGGCCAGUAAAGACUCAAAUGGGAUGAACCACGUCUCCUGUUCUUCCUCUUCCCCUCCUCCUCCGCUGUGUCCACACCUGCCUGUCAUGGCUCGGCAGCUAGACCACUCUGGGUAUGCCUGUUGACUUGGUUUACUCAAGCCAAGACUAGUGGUUUGAUUGACUCAAAUAGCUUGGCUAUUUGACUCAAAUUGAGUAACCAAGGUCUAUGAGCCAAGCAUAUUAUAACAUAUCCUAAACCUGUGAAACUAUCCCCCUGAACUAAUCAUGACCCCUGUCCUGUUAAUCAGUAACAGAUCACCUAGAACAAAUCAGGUCCGGUACUUACUGCUUUCUAUCCUAAAAUAUUUCUCUUAUGUUGUAUUCUUCUGAUCAUUAUGAAUGCUGUACCAACCUUAUAUAAAGAAACUCUGUAUUGUUUGAAGUUGAGCUGGCCUUGAUUAGCAGGGGAAUUUCUCCUGCCCAACCUUCUCUCCCUACUUGUGUUGGAAGAAACAUUAGUAAUAAUGAACUUGUCUCUGACAUACCCUUUUAAAUCCA
Long non-coding RNA from Ornithorhynchus anatinus (platypus), 864 nucleotides. RefSeq lists it as uncharacterized. NCBI's taxonomy places the organism in Eukaryota, Metazoa, Chordata, Mammalia, Monotremata, Ornithorhynchidae. The record is from RefSeq and is a predicted model, not a curated record. The transcript has 2 exons.